Molecule: long non-coding RNA, 10352 nt
Filed under: Homo sapiens (human)
Lineage: Eukaryota; Metazoa; Chordata; Mammalia; Primates; Hominidae
Description: HSALNT0182181
Source: RNAcentral
GUGCUUCAUGUCUGCAGGCCUGUCCCAGGCUCUGGAGACCUUAUAGAGGAUGCUGCUGAAUUCCCUAGCUUGGCUUAUGGAGGAGCAAAAAGAUUCAGUUGAUUUCUAACCUCAUGUUUAGCCACCUGUUAUCAAAGCCUGCCCUGAGAGAUGUUCAUCUCCCAAUGUCUAUGUAGGGCCCAGGCGGCUGCAAUCGAAAUGACAGGUCAGCUCAGAGGUUAGGUUGCUGGCUGAGUGGCUAUUGUUUUCCCAGUUUCAAUUUCAUUGUCAUGACAACCCACACAAGUCAUUGUCCCGGCUGAUGCCUCUGUGUGAGGGUGUGUGAGGAACGCGUUUCGUCCCAGCUCGCUCUGCUUGACGGACGAAGAGCCAUCACUGAUCUCAGGUGGCUGCUCCUUUCUUUCCUCCAUGUGUUCACAGUGUUCUUAUUUUCUCCACCACUUACCCAGAAAUUGUUUUUGAAAAGUGUCUCAUUUCAACUGAAUUUGGCGCAGAGCAAUUGGGAACAUUGCUCGGCUGGGAUUUGCUCUCUCUCCUCAGCAGUUUUGCAGGCCGUAUCUCACUCCUGUGGGCUUCCAGAACUGCUGGGACCCCUGGCUGAGAUCAAGAGGGGCAGUAGAUGGGAACCUGCCUGUUUCACACUCGGAUCAUCCAAGGGAAGACACGAACGUUCUGCACACACAACAUGGUGUAAGCGCAACACGUGCCUUAACGUGUCUUCCAAGCUGUGUGGGACCCCCUCCUUGAAAAUUUCAAGAGACAGAUGGCUGGUGUUUCUGUUGUGCUCCAUGGCUCUGAGAAAUCCUGUGUCUGUGUAGGGCUGUGGAGAUGCCAGCUCUGGAUGGUAACAUCGGUGAGCCUGGAAGGCUUUACCUUGGAAGCAUGGGGCCUGUGUCUAUUGAACUCCUCUUUUGGGUCCUCCAGCACUUGAUGACUCUGAGAACACAUGCUCCUUUACUUCAGGAGGCAGCCUCAAAAGUGGACUGUCCUUCUUCAUUUUGGCACGGUGGUGAUUCCAUCGGGAGGGGCUUUGGGCCAGGUUUGUCCUGCUGUGGAGGCCCACAGGCAGGUCAAGCACUGAGAAACCCUGCCUGGCCUGGCAAGCCUUCUUCUCCUGAGGAUGGCUUCUCCUGUGGCUACAGGAUCAUCUAUGUUGGUCAAACAGAUGGCUAAGUGGCCUGAAAUAAUGGUACAAGACGUUUUUAAAAGAUAUUGGGAUUGCUUUGACUGAAAGAGAGGAUGUGAGGGACUGGAGUGUCAUUAAGAGUCUCAAAAUCAAGGAAGGUUUUUAUGGAGACAGGUUGAGCACUGCUGUGGGAAAUGCUGGGGUGUGACAGGUGGGUCACUGCCGUGGGAAAUGCCGAGGUGAGGCAGGUGGACCACAGCCGUGGGAAAUGCCGAGGUGAGGCAGGUGGACCACUGUUGUGGGAAAUGCCGAGGUGAGGCAGGUGGACCACUGUUGUGGGAAAUGCCAAGGUGAGGCAGGUGGACCACUGUUGUGGGAAAUGCCGAGGUGAGGCAGGUGGACCACUGUUGUGGGAAAUGCUGGGGUGAGGCAGGUGGAUCACUGCCAUGGGAAAUGCCGAGGUGAGGCAGGUGGAUCACUGUUGUGGGAAAUGCUGGGGUGAGGCAGGUGGACCACUGUUGUGGGAAAUGCCGAGGUGAGGCAGGUGGACCACUGUUGUGGGAAAUGCCGAGGUGAGGCAGGUGGAUCACUGCUAUGGGAAAUGCCGAGGUGAGGCAGGUGGACCACUGUUGUGGGAAAUGCCGAGGUGAGGCAGGUGGACCACUGUUGUGGGAAAUGCCGAGGUGAGGUAGGUGGAUCACUGUUGUGGGAAAUGCCGAGGUGAGGCAGGUGGAUCACUGUUGUGGGAAAUGCCGGGGUGAGGCAGGUGGAUCACUGCUAUGGGAAAUGCCGAGGUGAGGCAGGUGGACCACUGUUGUGGGAAAUGCCGAGGUGAGGCAGGUGGAUCACUGCCGUGGGAAAUGCCGAGGUGAGGCAGGUGGACCACUGUUGUGGGAAAUGCCGAGGUGAGGCAGGUGGACCACUGUUGUGGGAAAUGCCGGGGUGAGGUAGGUGGAUCACUGUUGUGGGAAAUGCCGGGGUGAGGCAGGUGGAUCACUGCCGUGGGAAAUGCCGAGGUGAGGCAGGUGGACCACUGUUGUGGGAAAUGCCGGGGUGAGGCAGGUGGACCACUGUUGUGGGAAAUGCCGAGGUGAGGCAGGUGGACCACUGUUGUGGGAAAUGCCGAGGUGAGGUAGGUGGAUCACUGUUGUGGGAAAUGCCGAGGUGAGGCAGGUGGAUCACUGUUGUGGGAAAUGCCGGGGUGAGGCAGGUGGAUCACUGCUAUGGGAAAUGCCGAGGUGAGGCAGGUGGACCACUGUUGUGGGAAAUGCCGAGGUGAGGCAGGUGGAUCACUGCCGUGGGAAAUGCCGAGGUGAGGCAGGUGGACCACUGUUGUGGGAAAUGCCGGGGUGAGGUAGGUGGAUCACUGUUGUGGGAAAUGCCGGGGUGAGGCAGGUGGAUCACUGCCGUGGGAAAUGCCGAGGUGAGGCAGGUGGACCACUGCCGUGGGAAAUGCCGGGGUGAGGCAGGUGGACCACUGUUGUGGGAAAUGCCGAGGUGAGGCAGGUGGACCACUGUUGUGGGAAAUGCCGAGGUGAGGCAGGUGGACCACUGUUGUGGGAAAUGCCGGGGUGAGGCAGGUGGAUCACUGCCGUGGGAAAUGCUGAGGUGAGGCAGGUGGACCACUGUUGUGGGAAAUGCCAAGGUGAGGCAGGUGGAUCACUGCCGUGGGAAAUGCCGAGGUGAGGCAGGUGGAGCACUGUUGUGGGAAAUGCCGAGGUGAAGCAGGUGGAUCACUGCCGUGGGAAAUGCCGAGAUGAGGCAGGUGGAUCACUGUUGUGGGAAAUGCCGAGGUGAGGCAGGUGGACCACUGUUGUGGGAAAUGCCGAGGUGAGGCAGGUGGAUCACUGUUGUGGGAAAUGCCGAGGUGAGGCAGGUGGAUCACUGUUGUGGGAAAUGCGGAGCUGAGGCAGGUGGACCACUGUAGUGGGAAAUGCCGAGGUGAGGCAGGUGGACCACUGUUGUGGGAAAUGCCGAGGUGAGGCAGGUGGACCACUGUUGUGGGAAAUGCCAAGGUGAGGUAGGUGGAUCACUGUUGUGGGAAAUGAUGGGGUGAGGCAGGAUCACUAUUGUGGGAAAUGCGGGGGUGAGGCAGGUGGAUCACUGUUGUGGGAAAUGCCGAGGUGAGGCAGGUGGACCACUGUUGUGGGAAAUGCCGAGGUGAGGCAGGUGUAUCACUGUUGUGGGAAAUGAUGGCGUGAGGCAGGAUCACUGUUGUGGGAAAUGCCGAGGUGAGGCAGGUGGAUCACUGCCGUGGGAAAUGCCGAGGUGAGGCAGGUGGAUCACUGCCGUGGGAAAUGCCGAGGUGAGGCAGGAUCACUGUUGUGGGAAAUGCCGAGGUGAGGCAGGUGGAUCACUGCCAUGGGAAAUGCUGGGGUGAGGCAGGUGAAUCACUGCCGUGGGAAAUGCCGAGGUGAGGCAAGUGGAUCACUGUUUUGGGAAAUGCUGAGCUGAGGCAGGUGGAUCACUGCUGUUGGAAAUGUCGGGGUGAGGCAGGUGGAUCACUGUUGUGGGAAAUGCUGAGGUGAGGCAGGUGGAUCACUGUUAUGGGAAAUGCUGGGGUGAGGCAGGUGGAUCACUGCUAUGGGAAAUGCCGAGGUGACGCAGGUGGAUCACUGUUGUGGGAAAUGCCGAGGUGACGCAGGUGGAUCACUGUUGUGGGAAAUGCUGGGGUGAGGCAGGUGGAUCACUGCUAUGGGAAAUGCCGAGGUGAGGCAGGUGGAUCACUGUUGUGGGAAAUGCCGAGGUGAGGCAGAUGGAUCACUGUUGUGGGAAAUGCUGGGGUGAGGCAGGUGGAUCACUGCUAUGGGAAAUGCCGAGGUGAGGCAGGUGGACCACUGUUGUGGGAAAUGCCGAGGUGAGGCAGGUGUAUCACUGUUGUGGGAAAUGAUGGCGUGAGGCAGGAUCACUGUUGUGGGAAAUGCCGAGGUGAGGCAGGUGGAUCACUGCCGUGGGAAAUGCCGAGGUGAGGCAGGUGGAUCACUGCCGUGGGAAAUGCCGAGGUGAGGCAGGAUCACUGUUGUGGGAAAUGCCGAGGUGAGGCAGGUGGAUCACUGCCAUGGGAAAUGCUGGGGUGAGGCAGGUGAAUCACUGCCGUGGGAAAUGCCGAGGUGAGGCAAGUGGAUCACUGUUUUGGGAAAUGCUGAGCUGAGGCAGGUGGAUCACUGCUGUUGGAAAUGUCGGGGUGAGGCAGGUGGAUCACUGUUGUGGGAAAUGCUGAGGUGAGGCAGGUGGAUCACUGUUAUGGGAAAUGCUGGGGUGAGGCAGGUGGAUCACUGCUAUGGGAAAUGCCGAGGUGACGCAGGUGGAUCACUGUUGUGGGAAAUGCCGAGGUGACGCAGGUGGAUCACUGUUGUGGGAAAUGCUGGGGUGAGGCAGGUGGAUCACUGCUAUGGGAAAUGCCGAGGUGAGGCAGGUGGAUCACUGUUGUGGGAAAUGCCGAGGUGAGGCAGAUGGAUCACUGUUGUGGGAAAUGCUGGGGUGAGGCAGGUGGAUCACUGCUAUGGGAAAUGCCGAGGUGAGGCAGGUGGACCACUGUUGUGGGAAAUGCCUAGGUGAGGCAGGUAGAUCACUGCCGUGGGAAAUGCCGAGGUGAGGCAAGUGGAUCACUGUUGUGGGAAAUGCCAAGGUGAGGCAGGUGGACCACUGUUGUGGGAAAUGCCGAGGUGAGGCAGGUGGAUCACUGUUGUGGGAAAUGCUGAGCUGAGGCCGGUGGAUCACUGACGUGGCAAAUGCCGAAGUGAGGCAGGUGGAUCACUGUUGUGGGAAAUGCUGAUGUGAGGCAGGUGGAUCACCGCCAUGGGAAAUGCUGAGGUGAGGCAGAUGGACCACUGUUGUGGGAAAUGCCGAGGUGAGGCAGGUGGAUCACUGCCGUGGGAAAUGCCGAGGUGAGGCAGGUGGAUCACUGCCGUGGGAAAUGCCGAGGUGAGGCAGGUGGAUCACUGCCGUGGGAAAUGCCGAGGUGAGGCAGGAUCACUGUUGUGGGAAAUGCCGAGGUGAGGCAGGUGGAUCACUGCCAUGGGAAAUGCUGGGGUGAGGCAGGUGAAUCACUGCCGUGGGAAAUGCCGAGGUGAGGCAAGUGGAUCACUGUUUUGGGAAAUGCUGAGCUGAGGCAGGUGGAUCACUGCUGUUGGAAAUGUCGGGGUGAGGCAGGUGGAUCACUGUUGUGGGAAAUGCUGAGGUGAGGCAGGUGGAUCACUGACGUGGGAAAUGCCGAGGUGAGGCAGGUGGGUCACUGUUGUGGGAAAUGCUGGGGUGAGGCAGGUGGAUCACUGUUGUGGGAAAUGCUGGGGUGAGGCAGGUGGAUCACUGCCAUGGGUAAUGCUGAGGUGAGCCAGGUCGAUCACUGUUGUGGGAAAUGCUGGGGUGAGGCAGGUGGAUCACUGCCGUGGGAAAUGCCGAGGUGAGGCAGGUGGAUCACUGCCGUGGGAAAUGCCGAGGUGAGGCAGGUGGAUCACUGUUGUGGGAAAUGCUGGGGUGAGGCAGGUGGAUCACUGCCAUGGGAAAUGCCGAGGUGAGGCAGGUGGAUCACUGCCAUGGGAAAUGCUGAGGUGAGGCAGGUGGAUCACUGUUGUGCAAAAUGCUGGGUUGAGGCAGGUGGAUCACUGUUGUGGGAAAUGCUGGGGUGAGGCAGGUGGAUCACUGUUGUGGGAAAUGCUGGGGUGAGGCAGGUGGAUCACUGCCGUGGGAAAUGCUGGGGUGAGGCAGGUGGAUCACUGCCGUGGGAAAUGCUGGGAUGAGGCAGGUGGAUCACUGUUGUGAGAAAUGCUGGGGUGAGGCAGGUGGAUCACUGCCGAGGGAAAUGCUGAGGUGAGGCAGGUGUAUCGCUGCUGUGGAAAAUGCUGAGCUGAGGCCCAUGUGCAUGGCCCCUAUUGUCAUGGUGGGGGUGGCGGGGAGACACAGAGUUGAGCCAGGCAAUGGGAAAGAGCAGAAAGCAGAUAUGAGAGUCUAGAGCCAGGGCUGAGCCAGCAGAACUGGGAGCAGGAGCGCUGUUAGAAGGUGGUUUGAUCUGCGGCUCAGGCCGACUGAGUUGGUCAACACUAAGAGCCAGGAGGCUUCACCUUCUUCACCUUUAUUCAUUCAACAGACAUUUUUGGAGUAUUUGCUACAUGCCAGGUACCAUUCUAGGGGCUCAUCAGUCAGUGGUGAGUGAAACAGACAAAAAUCCCAACCCCAACAGGCUUUUACCUUCUAGUGGAGGCAGCCAGGCAAUAAGCAGAUCACUUAGACACUCAGGUUGCCAGAUGGUUCCAAGUUCUGUUAGGAGAGGGGCAUAGGGAUGGUGGGGGUGCUACAGUUUAAAACAGAGGGGUCAGAUUAGCCUUUGUGAGAUGAUGCUCUAGCAAAAAACUAACAGGGGGAGGGCUGGGGUCAUGGGGACACCUGGGGGAAGAUCAAGGCAGAAGGAGCAGCUAGGGCAGCACCCAUGGGCCUGGUGUGCUGGAGACCAGGGAGGGGCCUGUAAGGCUGGAAUGGGGUGACCGAGAGGCGACCUCAGGGAUGAGGUCUGAGGUGCCAGAAACGAGAGCACGCUGGGCCUUGCAAUCUUUGUAAGCGCUUUCUAGGUGGAAUGGGAGGCCGCAGGAGGGGAUGGAACAGAGCAGGGAUAUCACCUACAGGCUCUUACAGGAUCCCUCUGGCGGCUGUUAUGAGAAUAUGUUAAAUUUGAGAUGAUCUGCUUAGAUUAAGUCCUGACUCUGCCAUUGUCACUGGGCUGAGAAGGUCUACAUGACUACCAGACUAUCUCAACUCUACUGGGAUUUGAACAUCUUUAGGAAAAUGUUGAAUUGAAUGUGUCACAAAUUCGUCAAAAUGAGCAAAGUUAUAAAGAGGCAGACUCAGCUCAAAGUGAAUAUGACCUUGCCCCACUGCCCUCCCUGGCGUUAGGGACACCAAACACUGCCAAAUCCAACCCCUGGCUCCCAUCCUAGUCAAAUUCUUCCAGGUCCCUGGAGCUUUUCUUGGGGCUCCAGAGCCCCCCAGCCACCUGCUGCGGGCUUACCAUGCAGCUCUCCACUCCACCACGAGGGGGCCUCGCUCAGGCCACUGUGCCACCCACCACCAUCUGCUAGCUUCCCGCCUUUGCUUUUCCCUCCUGCCCACCGGUGGCUCUCCGGGGAGCGUCUUCUGCCGGCCCUCUUCCGAACUGAAGGAAUCUGUGCAAAACCUCCUGGUGCCUAACUCAGAUCUGCUCAAGCUCCAGCAACUCCAGCUCCCUGACAUUAGCUGGGCCUCCAUGCCUCUUGGAGUAUCCCAACCCGAGAUUAGCAUUACCUAUCUUCUCCCUGGUUUCUCUUGGGAGUUUUCAUUCAAGAGUCCCAAGACCUGCCCAUCAGACCUAAGAAUGCUCCUCAUUGCUUCUCCCAUGAUCCCCAAACCAGGAAGGCUGGUGAUAAGCCCCAGGGCCGUGUCGCUCUUCUGCAGCCUCCCUCUCUAGGAGGAGGAAGGUACAGGAGGUAGAACAGUUCACACUCCUUCUUUCCAGCAGAUUGGCCGUGGGAGUCUCAAUGUUGUGAGAGGGGCUGAGCCUAUGUGCCCCCCACAGUCCUUCCCCCUUCAACAUUUACAGCGUCUGUGUGAUGUCACUUGUUGGUGUCCAAUGAAUGGGAACUGAUUGUCUUGUUUUGCAGGGGUGGGUCUGGAGGUGUCUUUAGGGACACUCCUAGCUGAGUUUUUUCCACACCACUGACAACCAUGCUUUGUGAGUUACCAACUGAGGAGAGAUCUGAACUGGCAGAAUCAAAGGACAUGGGUUUAGGAAAGUAUCCAAAUUACAUUGAGGGCGGUCCCACUGCUGUUCCAAACAGUCAAAUACCCCCUUUUGAUUGAAUAGGCUUGUUAUUAAAAAUGCAUUUAAGAAAAUGAAAUCAAAAGCAAAUCCCUUCAAAUAAAAUUUCAGCCUUGUCUAAAAUCCAGGGGUUUAUUUGAAAGUUCCAUCUUCUCACACUUUGCACAGAGCUGUGCUGGAGAGAUCAUAGCCCUCUGUCCCCUGAGCAUGAUGAACCAGGAAGGUAGAUAUCAAUCAGGUUUCCUGAAAUCUGUGCAGAAUGCUCCUUCCUUAGUUAUUUUCUGGGUACUGACAUGGGGGAGGUGAUUGCCUAAAUUGUGUUGCACGUCACUCCACAGAAAUUCUCAUAUCCUGUAAGGACUGAAGCUUGAACUGAUAUGGAACCCAUGACUCAGUAGCAGUUGACUGCUAGCCCCUCCUGGGCUUCUACUCCUUUGUCCGUUGCAUCCCCUAAACUCAGCCCACCUGAUUACUUCAUAUCUGUUGGCGGAUUGACUCCCUCCCUCCAGACCACUUUCAAUAAGAAGAUCUUCCUUAUUUGGCUAGGAACAAACACCACGUGGCUUCCCUAUGACCUGUAUGCUGCCUUGAUCUUCUACCCUUGGAAGAAACAGAAGGAGUGAGAGAGUUAUGUCAGCCAGGACAGCAUUAACUUUAAUCCUACUUAAUUCCAGCUCCACGAUGAAAGCCUAACUUUGAGACUUGAUUGAGGUGAGUUUAGGUCAAAUAAGAGGAGGUUUCAUUCAGCCACAUCGUCAUUUAUUCAGCCAACAUUCACAGAGCCAGGCACAGAGCUUGGGGCUGGGAGUCAGAGGAACAAUACUUGGUCCCUGCCCUUGAGGGAGACAAACAGAAGCAAAUAGGAAAUAACUGCAACAUAGGCAAUGAAUUCUGAAGUGAAAGGAAGCAGGAACCCACGCUGGGGAGAGUCACUGAUGGACAGUUGUAACUUUUAGGGAGGGGACACAGAGGCAAGGAGAAGGCAGAAGAAACUGACUCGAGUUGGAUUUUAAAGGCUGAGUAAUAAACUCACAAAAGUAAAAUUAUGGGGCCGGGCGCAGUGGCUCAUGCAUGUAAUCCCAGCACUUUGGGAUGCUGAGGUGGGCAGAUCACCUGAGGUCAGGAGUUUGAGAACAACCUGGCCAACAUGGUGAAACCCCGUCUAUCCUAAAAAUACCAAAAAAGAAAAAAAUAGCUGGACGUGGUGGCACACACCUGUGGUCCCAGCUACUCAGAAGGCUGAGGCAAGAGAAUCACUUGAACCUGGGUGGUGGAGGUUGGCAGUGAGCCAAGAUCGUGCCACUGCACUCCAGCCUGGGUGAAAGAAUGAGAUUCCGUUUCUCUCUCUUUCUGUGUGUGUGUGUGUGUGUGUGUGUGUGUGUGUGUGUGUGUAUAGUAAAAUUACGGAGUUCAUGACCUCCUGGAGAGAUGACUAGCAGGAAUUGCAAUGGAUUCUGAAAAGAUUUGGAGAAUGUGGAUAUCAUGGGACGAAGCCAAGACUUGCACCUGGAGAUGAAGGUUCAAGCUGUGUUUUCCAGGACGUCAUCCUUGGCAAGUCACUCAACAUCUCUGUGCCUUAACUUCCUCAUCUGUACAGUUGGAAAUAUAACAAUGCCUGCCCUGCUUAUCUCAUGGAGCUCCUGGGAGGAUCAAAAUUACCAGUGUAUAUGACCAUGCCAGAAAUCAGUUAAGUGUGAGGCACGUUAAAGCAUUUUAAAGCAUUAUGUUUGGAAAUAAUUUCAAGUUUACAAAAAGUUACAAAAUGAGAAAUGGUACAAAGAAUAUUCAUAUUCAUUUUAUCCAGAUUUACUUAUUGUUUGUAGUUUAACCCAUGUAUUAUUUAUUCUUAUUCUCUGUCUCAUGUAUAUAUACUAUAUGGACAUGUGGUUAUAUAUGUAUGUUUAUACAUAAUUUUUUCCUGAACCAUUUUUAUAUUAUGUAUAUUAUGGCUCUUUACCCCUGAAUACUUAACAGUGUGUUUUUCCUAAGAAUAAGAUUAUUAUAUGCCACAGUAUAGUUAACGGUUGUAUACAUUUACAUUGUUACAAAUACUCUUAUCUAAUCCAUCACCCGUAUUACAAAUUUUUUGCUUGGUCUAAUAGUACUCUUUAUAGCAUUCUCCCUUCCAGUGCAGGAUCCAGUCUAAGGGGUCAGAUAUUGCAUUUGGUCUUCAUGUCUUUUUAGCCUCCUUUAAUCUGAAACAUCCCACAGCCUUUCUUUGCCCUGUGCAAUGCUGAUAUUUGUAAAGAAUACAGUGCCUCCAUUUUUGCGUUCAUCUACUGUUUCUUCAUGUUUAAUCUGGGGUUGUGCUAACCUCCCAACUCCGGCAUUCUCUCUACUUUUACUAGUUGGACCUCAGAAUUCUACUGCAACCAAGAGCUUUCCCUUCUUUUUUCUCUUUAUUUUCUCUUUUCUUUUCUUCUUUCUCUCUUUCUUUCU